Papaver somniferum (opium poppy) is the source of this 182-nucleotide long non-coding RNA. RefSeq lists it as uncharacterized. NCBI's taxonomy places the organism in Eukaryota, Viridiplantae, Streptophyta, Magnoliopsida, Ranunculales, Papaveraceae. The transcript is spliced from 3 exons. The record is from RefSeq and is a predicted model, not a curated record.
AGACAUCUGAGAUGCAAUCUGUAAUUUGUUCUCAGGGCCCCAUAUUGCCAGAGUUUCAGGAAAUGAUCAAGCUACUGAUUGUCAAUAAUCCUGUAAACAAAGAUGUAGCAAGCACUUGGAACUGGCAAUUUGGAAGUGGGGCAUGAACUAGAUGGGAAGUUGUGGCACUUGGAAUAAUGGAG